CCUACGGGUGGCAGCAGUGGGGAAUAUUGCACAAUGGGGGAAACUCUGAUGCAGCGAAGCCGCGUGAGUGAGGAAGUAUCUCGGUAUGUAAAGCUCUUUUAGCAGGGAAGUAAAUGACGGUACCUGACUAAGAAGCUCCGGCGAACUAGAUGCCAGCAGCCGUGGUAAUACGGAGGGGGCAAGCGUUAUCCGGAUUUACUGGGUGUAAAGGGGGCGUAGGCGGCUAGUCAAGUCAGAAGUGAAAGCCCAGGGCUCAACCUUGGAACUGCUUUUGAAACUGAGUAGCUAGAGUGCAGGAGAGGUAGGCGGAAUUCCUAGUGUAGCGGUGAAAUGCGUAGAUAUUAGGAAGAACACCAGUGGCGAAGGCAGCUUACUGGACUGUAACUGACGUUGAGGCUCGAAAGCGUGGGGAGCAAACAGGAUUAGAUACCCUUGUAGUC
This 440-nucleotide ribosomal RNA is filed under the name uncultured bacterium. Its description in RNAcentral is "partial 16S ribosomal RNA". It matches the Rfam family "Bacterial small subunit ribosomal RNA", at positions 338 to 795 of the family's 1533-position model. The record is from RNAcentral.